GAGAUAGCCAUGCGAGUCAGCGUAGCAAUACGUGGCACACGGCUCAGUAACACGUAGUCAACAUAACCAAAGGACGUGGAUAAACUCGGGAAACUGAGGCUAAACCGCGAUAGAUCAAGAUAUCUGGAAUGGUUUUUGAUCAAAAUCUAUAUGGCCUUUGGAUUGGACUGCGUCCGAUCAGGCUGUUGGUGAGGUAAUGGCCCACCAAACCUGUAACCGGUACGGGCUCUGAGAGGAGGAGCCCGGAGAUGGGUACUGAGAAAAGGACCCAGGCCCUAUGGGGCGCAGCAGGCGCGAAACCUCUGCAAUAGGCGAAAGCCUGACAGGGUUACUCUGAGUGACUUUCGCUAAGAAAGUCUUUUGACACCUCUAAAAAUGGUGUAGAAUAAGGGGUGGGCAAGUCUGGUGUCAGCCGCCGCGGUAAUACCAGCACCCCGAGUGGUCGGGACGAUUAUUGGGCCUAAAGCAUCCGUAGCCGGUUUUACAAGUCCUCCGUUAAAUCCAGCUGCUUAACAGAUGGGCUGCGGAGGAUACUAUAAGACUAGGAGGCAGGAGAGGCAAGCGGUACUCAGUGGGUAGGGGUAAAAUCCGUUGAUCCAUUGAAGACCACCAGUGGCGAAGGCGGCUUGCCAGAAUGCGCUCGACGGUGAGGGAUGAAAGCUGGGGGAGCAAACCGGAUUAGAUACCCGGGUAGUCCCAGCUGUAAACGAUGCAGACUCGGUGAUGGACUAGCUUUAUGCUAGUCCAGUGCCGCAGGGAAGCCGUUAAGUCUGCCGCCUGGGUAGUACGGUCGCAAGACUGAAACUUAAAGGAAUUGGCGGGGGAGCACCACAAGGGUGAAGCCUGCGGUUC
RNAcentral lists this ribosomal RNA (852 nucleotides) under uncultured crenarchaeote. Its description in RNAcentral is "bacterial SSU rRNA". It matches the Rfam family "Archaeal small subunit ribosomal RNA", at positions 42 to 903 of the family's 1478-position model. The record is from RNAcentral. Lineage: Archaea; Thermoproteati; Thermoproteota.